RNAcentral lists this long non-coding RNA (1049 nucleotides) under Scleropages formosus (Asian bonytongue). Its description in RNAcentral is "lncRNA (ENSSFOG00015029215.1)". Lineage: Eukaryota; Metazoa; Chordata; Actinopteri; Osteoglossiformes; Osteoglossidae. The record is from RNAcentral.
GCUCCGGGAUGGGCAGUAGCGCAUCACCGCUGGCACUUCUGCUUACUCUCGUGUGCUUUUUAGAGCGAAAAACACUUAAAAUCAAACGUCAGUUUUACUGCUCUGAAACUGUGCAUAUGAAAUUCGGAUUGUACACCGUCACGUCACAAGUUCGAAGCAGUUCCUUGUGAAAAAGCAUGUUCUUACCCUGCCCUGCUGGGUUGUGAACACGAGAAGAGCAGAAAAAAAGCAGCGGCCGCGGAGACACUUGUCACUUCAGCGGAUUCACACCAUUAGCCUUCAUACGACCCAUUUCCUAAAUACUAGUCAAGUACACGGCAAGUAGUAGUAGUAGUGAUCUUUCUCUGAAAGCAACGUUCAUACUAAAAAGCAGCAGUAUGGUCAAAAACUUUUUGGAACUUGAUGACUUUUAUUUGUCAACGAUAUAUUCACACUGGAAAGCUUCAUCUGAGAUAAAUGGGACCGAGUGGUUUGCAGGUGAAGCUCCAGGUGUCUAAAAGGUAAUAUGUUUUUGAGCCUAAAAGAAAGCCAACUGGUGUCUCCUGACAAGGCAGAAAGUUGCAUCAGUUGUCAGUAGAAAUCAAGCAAUAGAGGACACUUCUGUUUUUCUCUCACACAGUAUGUUGUAUUAUCAUGUUUCAUAACAAUUGAGCCUAUAGAUUCUGUACGUUUUGUCAGUAUUUCCCCUAAAACAGUUUUUAUUAAAGGGAUUUUGACUGGGUCAUAACUGUACAGAGCAGUGUCUCAAUUUUGAUGAUUCGCACAAUACACAGAUCAUCAAGACGACGGUUAACGAAGUUCAUUGCUUCCCCCAUUGCUUCAAGUAUUCAACUUGAAUUUACUUUAAAGUUCCAGACAGAGCCAAGUGCAGAGCAACCAAUAUCAAGACAUUUUCAUACCCCAGUGCAGCAAGUGCGAUAUGACAAGUGGGAGAUGAACAUGGAAUCAGAUGCUGUGUUUUUUUUUUUUUUUUUUUUUUUUUCUCUCAAAGCUUUCUAGGCUUCUUUGAAAGAUGUUUCUGGUUUAAUUUAGCAUUUUUCUCUUUGGCA